CAUGCAAGUCCGCACGGGAAAGUGGAGCAAUCCAUGAGUAUAGUGGCGUACGGGUGAGUAACACGUGGAUCAUCUACCUUCUAGUGGGGAAUACCCCUGGGAAACUGGGGACAAUACCGCAUAAGCUCGAAAGAGGAAAGCAGCAAUGCGCUGGAAGAGGAGUCCGCGGCUGAUUAGCUAGUUGGCGGGGUAACGGCCCACCAAGGCGAAGAUCGGUAGCCGGCCUGAGAGGGCACACGGCCACACUGGCACUGAAACACGGGCCAGACUCCUACGGGAGGCAGCAGUGGGGAAUCUUGCACAAUGGAGGAAACUCUGAUGCAGCGACGCCGCGUGAGCGAUGAAGCCCCUCGGGGUGUAAAGCUCUUUCGACGGGAAAGAUUAUGACGGUACCCGGAGAAGAAGCUGCGGCUAACUACGUGCCAGCAGCCGCGGUAAUACGUAGGCAGCGAGCGUUGUUCGGAAUUACUGGGCGUAAAGAGUGUGUAGGCGGUGCUCUAAGUCUGUUGUGAAAUCUCCCGGCUUAACUGGGAGGGUGCGGCGGGAACUGGAGUGCUAGAGGGUGGGAGAGGUAAGCGGAAUUCCUGGUGUAGCGGUG
RNAcentral lists this ribosomal RNA (598 nucleotides) under uncultured bacterium. RNAcentral's name for it is "bacterial SSU rRNA". It matches the Rfam family "Bacterial small subunit ribosomal RNA", at positions 54 to 683 of the family's 1533-position model. The record is from RNAcentral.